UACGUAGGGUGCAAGCGUUGUCCGGAAUUAUUGGGCGUAAAGAGCUCGUAGGCGGUCUGUCGCGUCUGCUGUGAAAACUCAGGGCUUAACCCUGAGCUUGCAGUGGGUACGGGGCAGACUAGAGUGCGGGUAGGGGAGACUGGAAUUCCUGGUGUAGCGGUGAAAUGCGCAGAUAUCAGGAGGGAACACCCGGUGGGCGAAAGGCGG
Molecule: ribosomal RNA, 207 nt
Filed under: uncultured bacterium
Lineage: Bacteria
Description: partial 16S ribosomal RNA
Rfam family: Bacterial small subunit ribosomal RNA
Source: RNAcentral